UACGAAGGGGGGCUAGCGUUGCUCGGAAUCACUGGGCGUAAAGCGCACGUAGGCGGCUUUUUUAAGUCAGGGGUGAAAUCUCCGGGCUUAACUCGGAGCGGUCAAGUGAUACUGUUGUGCUAGAGUGCGGAAGGGGCUACUGGAAUUCUCGGUGUAGCGGUGAAAUGCGUAGAUAUCGAGAGGAACACCUGCGGCGAAGGCGGGUAGCUGGGCCGACACUGACGCUGAAGCGCGAAAGCUAGGGGAGCGAACGGG
RNAcentral lists this ribosomal RNA (255 nucleotides) under uncultured bacterium. RNAcentral describes it as "partial 16S ribosomal RNA". It matches the Rfam family "Bacterial small subunit ribosomal RNA", at positions 524 to 776 of the family's 1533-position model. The record is from RNAcentral.